RNAcentral lists this ribosomal RNA (429 nucleotides) under Actinomycetes bacterium. Its description in RNAcentral is "Actinobacteria bacterium partial 16S ribosomal RNA". It matches the Rfam family "Bacterial small subunit ribosomal RNA", at positions 355 to 776 of the family's 1533-position model. Lineage: Bacteria; Bacillati; Actinomycetota; Actinomycetes. The record is from RNAcentral.
UAGGGAAUCUUCCGCAAUGGGCGAAAGCCUGACGGAGCAACGCCGCGUGAGUGAUGAAGGUCUUCGGAUCGUAAAACUCUGUUAUUAGGGAAGAACAAAUGUGUAAGUAACUAUGCACGUCUUGACGGUACCUAAUCAGAAAGCCACGGCUAACUACGUGCCAGCAGCCGCGGUAAUACGUAGGUGGCAAGCGUUAUCCGGAAUUAUUGGGCGUAAAGCGCGCGUAGGCGGUUUUUUAAGUCUGAUGUGAAAGCCCACGGCUCAACCGUGGAGGGUCAUUAGAAACUGGAAAACUGGAGUGCAGAAGAGGAAAGUGGAAUUCCAUGUGUAGCGGUGAAAUGCGCAGAGAUAUGGAGGAACACCAGUGGCGAAGGCGACUUUCUGGUCUGUAACUGACGCUGAUGUGCGAAAGCGUGGGGAUCAAACAGG